UCCUAAUACAGGGAGGUAGUGACAAGAAAUAACAAUACAGGGCCUUUCGGCUUUGUAAUUGGAAUGAGUUGAGUCUAAACCCCUUUGCGAGUAUCAAUUGGAGGGCAAGUCUGGUGCCAGCAGCCGCGGUAAUUCCAGCUCCAAUAGCGUAUAUUAAAGUUGUUGCAGUUAAAAAGCUCGUAGUUGGAUUUCUGCUAAUACUCUAUGUAAAUGCUUUUGCCUUUACAUGUUGU
This 233-nucleotide ribosomal RNA is filed under the name Cryptosporidium sp. chipmunk genotype II. RNAcentral's name for it is "partial 18S small subunit ribosomal RNA". It matches the Rfam family "Eukaryotic small subunit ribosomal RNA", at positions 449 to 683 of the family's 1831-position model. The record is from RNAcentral. Lineage: Eukaryota; Apicomplexa; Conoidasida; Eucoccidiorida; Cryptosporidiidae.